GAUCUAUUAACUAAAUUGGUUAGAGCGUGGUACUAAUAAUGGCGAGGCCGUAGGUUCAACCCCUGUAUGGACCG
Sphaerobolus stellatus SS14 is the source of this 74-nucleotide non-coding RNA. The record is from the annotation of a GenBank genome assembly. NCBI's taxonomy places the organism in Eukaryota, Fungi, Basidiomycota, Agaricomycetes, Geastrales, Sphaerobolaceae.